AGCUCCGCAGGCGGCCCCGCCCGCUGUUCCUGCGUCCCCCCUCCUGGUGCCGGAGCGGGUGACAGUGGGCCCUGAGCAGCGAGCAGGUCGCCACGAACCGGACGCGGCGUGGCGGGGAAUCGGGAGCCCUGGGAGAUCUCUACAACGCCCCUCCCUCUUUAUGGACUGCCCCCAGGAAAAGCCUGGUGCUGACACCAUCCCAGCCCCCUUCUGACUUCUGCUGGCUUUGCUGCGAGAAGGAGAAGGGAAGACUUCUUAGCUGCAGAUCCUGGCCGGCACCCCUCCCCAGCCCCCUGCCUCUGCACCCUGGGAGACACUGGGCCCUUGUGCUGGGCACUGCCCUGGGGGUCUAGCCUGGCCCCCAUCCCCCCGGGGAAACUAGACAGGCUCAGCUUUGCCCCCUCCCCGCCCCCAUCUCUGUGAGCCACAUGCUGGGGAGAUAGUGGAAUGGAAGAAAGAAAGACACCUUCCCCGCUCCCUGCUUGGGGCUGGGUACAGAAACACUCCCACAGGGCUGUGAGGCCAGGAGCACGGAGUGCCCUUCUGGGAUGGGGCACACUAAGGUCUCAGGUCCCUCAGGCAAUUCUGGGCCUGAACGAGCCUGAUCUGUGUUCACUGCUGCUCUGGCGGCCUUUGACAUUUCCUCCUCUGGGGGAAUGGGCUUUGCCCUAAGUCAUGUUGCUGUAGGAAAGAAGAAUCGUGAUCUGAAUUGUUGUGGAAAGUGUUUACUUAAAAUCUUAUUAAGGUUUAUUUGUAGAACUUCUGUCUGCUGGCCUUAUCACCAGAGACAAAUUCUAGGGGGGGGGGGGUCUCUCUGCUUUGCUGACCUUUAAGAAAACAACUGAGAGAUGAAGGAAGAGCUGGGGAGAGGCAGGUUCUGUCCUGGAGGGGGGAGAGGGGUAUUACACUUGCAGUCAUGUCCCCAUCCCACCCUCCCAGCCCAUCUGCCCUUACCAGCCUUGACUGACAGGGAGGCAGCCUGAGGGUGGAUGCACCAGCAUCCCGGCUGCAGUCAAUAAUGCCACGAAUGUAGGAAUCCUUUCCAGGGGUGAGAGUGUAUUGCCCCUCUCUUCUUCCAACCCUGGACACUGCAAAGGACAAAUCCUCUUUCCCUGGCCCCCUAGCAGACCCUGGGAAAAGGCCAGACUCAACUCCAGGAUAUGUCAUAAUAGCAAAUAAUUAUGAAAUGCCUCCUACAUGUCA
This is a long non-coding RNA of Choloepus didactylus (southern two-toed sloth), 1203 nucleotides long. RefSeq lists it as uncharacterized. The record is from RefSeq and is a predicted model, not a curated record. Lineage: Eukaryota; Metazoa; Chordata; Mammalia; Pilosa; Megalonychidae. The transcript has 2 exons.